RNAcentral lists this long non-coding RNA (321 nucleotides) under Sorghum bicolor (sorghum). RNAcentral's name for it is "long non-coding RNA (SBIC_LNC003775)". The record is from RNAcentral. Lineage: Eukaryota; Viridiplantae; Streptophyta; Magnoliopsida; Poales; Poaceae.
GACAAGCCCGGCACGCCCAUGGCGCCCGGCGCCGGCGCGCAGUCCAGCGCCUACAUCUACGAGCUCUUCAACGAGGACCUCCGCCCGGGCCCCGUGUCGGAGGCGAACUGGGGCCUGUUCUACGGGAACGGCACCCCGGUGUACCUCCUCCACGUGUCCGGCGCCGACGGGUUCCUGGGGAACGACACGACGGACCGGACCUUCUGCGUAGCCGCCGACGACGCGGACUUGAAGGCGGUGCAGGCGGCCAUGGACUGGGCGUGCGGCCCCGGGCGCGCCGACUGCACGGCGAUACAGCCCGGGCAGGCGUGCUACCAGCCC